RNAcentral lists this ribosomal RNA (269 nucleotides) under uncultured prokaryote. RNAcentral's name for it is "partial 16S ribosomal RNA". It matches the Rfam family "Bacterial small subunit ribosomal RNA", at positions 524 to 792 of the family's 1533-position model. The record is from RNAcentral.
UACGAAGGGUGCAAGCGUUAAUCGGAAUUACUGGGCGUAAAGCGCGCGCAGGCGGUCCUUUAAGUCUGAUGUGAAAGCCCACGGCUUAACCGUGGAGGGUCAUUGGAAACUGAGGGACUUGAGUACAGAAGAGGAGAGUGGAAUUCCACGUGUAGCGGUGAAAUGCGUAGAGAUGUGGAGGAACACCAGUGGCGAAGGCGACUCUCUGGUCUGUAACUGACGCUGAGGUGCGAAAGCGUGGGUAGCAAACAGGAUUAGAUACCCUGGUA